AUGGCGUACAAUUUGGCACUUCCAGAGGACAGUCGCAUCCACCCGGUUUUUCAUGUACCCCAGCUCAAGCCGUUCACACCAGAUUACUCUCCAGUCUUCUCCGAGCUACCACACACUCCAGACCUCACAGCUGCUCCGUUGCAGCCCAUUACCAUCCUCGCCCAUCGCCUUGUCAAGAAAGGUAACUCACCGGUGCUGCGGGUUCAAGUCCAAUGGUCUUCACUGUCGCCAGACUCUGCAACCUGGGAAGAUUACUCCGUGCUGCGUCACCGUUAUCCAACGGCUCCUUGCUGGGAUGCAGACAGCGCUUCCGCUCAAGGAGGGACGAAUGUCACACCUGAUGUGAGUACAUCAGUGGACUAG
This 363-nucleotide ribosomal RNA is filed under the name Triticum aestivum (bread wheat). RNAcentral's name for it is "partial small subunit ribosomal RNA". The record is from RNAcentral. Lineage: Eukaryota; Viridiplantae; Streptophyta; Magnoliopsida; Poales; Poaceae.